Molecule: ribosomal RNA, 253 nt
Filed under: uncultured bacterium
Lineage: Bacteria
Description: partial 16S ribosomal RNA
Rfam family: Bacterial small subunit ribosomal RNA
Source: RNAcentral
UACGUAGGUGGCAAGCGUUGUUCGGAAUUACUGGGCGUAAAGGGCUCGUAGGCGGCCAACUAAGUCAGACGUGAAAUCCCCAGGCUUAACCUGGGAACUGCGUCUGAUACUGGAUGGCUUGAAUUCGGGAGAGGGAUGCAGAAUUCCAGGUGUAGCGGUGAAAUGCGUAGAUAUCUGGAGGAAUACCGGUGGCGAAGGCGGCAUCCUGGACCGACAUUGACGCUGAGGAGCGAAAGCUAGGGGAGCAAACGGG